GUAGGGAAUAUUGGGCAAUGGGUGCAAGCCUGACCCAGCCAUCCCGCGUGCCGGAUGAAGGCCCUCUGGGUUGUAAACGGCUUUUGACGGUGAAGAAUCGACAGGAUGCGUCCUGUUUUGACGGUAGCCGUUGAAUAAGCACCGGCUAACUCCGUGCCAGCAGCCGCGGUAAUACGGAGGGUGCGAGCGUUGUCCGGGUUUAUUGGGUUUAAAGGGUGCGUAGGCUGGAAGGUCAGUCAGCGGUGAAAAGCUGUCGCUUAACGAUAGUCUUGCCGCAGAUACUUCCUUUCUUGGAUGAGGAGGAGGCCACUGGAACGGAUGGUGUAGCGGUGAAAUGCAUAGAUAUCAUCCAGAACACCGAUUGCGAAGGCAGGUGGCUGUACCUUAAUCGACGCUGAUGCACGAAAGCAUGGGGAGCAAACAGGAUUAGAAACCCUUGUAGUCC
This 445-nucleotide ribosomal RNA is filed under the name uncultured bacterium. RNAcentral describes it as "partial 16S ribosomal RNA". It matches the Rfam family "Bacterial small subunit ribosomal RNA", at positions 354 to 796 of the family's 1533-position model. The record is from RNAcentral.